Molecule: transfer RNA, 99 nt
Filed under: Mycolicibacterium psychrotolerans
Lineage: Bacteria; Bacillati; Actinomycetota; Actinomycetes; Mycobacteriales; Mycobacteriaceae
Description: tRNA-Arg
Source: RNAcentral
GGUGCGGCCAGGGCGGGCGCGGCCAGUCCGAGCGUUGCUGCGGUCAGCGCGGCAGCUGCGGCGGCGGUGAAGGUGAAGUUCGUCAUUUCGCUGUCCCGC